This 535-nucleotide ribosomal RNA is filed under the name uncultured bacterium. RNAcentral describes it as "bacterial SSU rRNA". It matches the Rfam family "Bacterial small subunit ribosomal RNA", at positions 772 to 1319 of the family's 1533-position model. The record is from RNAcentral.
ACUAAAUAGAUACCCGGGUAGUCCACGCCCUAAACUAUGAUUACUCGAUGUCGGGGGAUUCGACCCCUCCGGUGUCUAAAGCUAAACGCGAUAAAGUAAUCCGCCUGGGUAGUACGAUCGCAAGAUUAAAACUCAAAGGAAUAGACGGGGACCCGCACAAGCGGUGGAGCAUCUGGUUUAAUUCGACAGUAAGCGAAAAACCUCACCAAGACUUGACAUCCCGAGAAGAUCGUCGAAAGAUGAUUGUGCCGCAAGGAACUCGGUGACAGGUGCUGCAUGGUUGUCGUCAGCUCGUGCCUUGAGGUGUUCGGUUAAGUCCGUAAACGAGCGCAACCCAUGUCUUAUGUUGAAUUUUUCAUAAGAGACUGCCGGCUCCAAGUCGGAGGAAGGUAUGGAUGACGUCAAAUCAGCAUGGCCCUUAUGUCUUGGGCCACACAGGUGCUACAAUGGGCAGUACAAAGGGGAGCUUUAUGGCAACAUAUGGCAAAUCCCAAAAGCUGCUCUUAGUUCGGAUUGAGGGCUGCAAUUCGCCCUC